UCUCUCUCCCUAAGUGCUUAGUCAGCAAAAAUAUCCACGUAUUAACAGAGUUAGUCCAAGUGGCAGGUCAGUUGACAGCAGGGGUACGGGUGGUCUACUUUUACUAACGUUAAGGGUACUUUUGGAAAAAAAAUAGUUUAGAGUGGAAGUGGGACAUCCGUGUAUAGUUCAGGAAUUUUUUUGGACCUUAUCCCUAUACUAUAAAAGUAUCAAGUGUCGAGUUCGGAUAAUACCCGCGUAGAAUCGAACUGCAUGGUGAAGUUGUAAUGGCACAUUUCGUAAAUUAUGGAUAAAUUGAGGUGACAAUUUAUGGUCUGCAUUUGAGUGAAGGUCCCAG
Molecule: long non-coding RNA, 337 nt
Filed under: Panax ginseng (ginseng)
Lineage: Eukaryota; Viridiplantae; Streptophyta; Magnoliopsida; Apiales; Araliaceae
Description: long non-coding RNA (PGIN_LNC003828)
Source: RNAcentral